GAUGAAUUUUUCAGCCACUUCAUGACAUUCAGUGUGGCAAUGAACAUACUUGUAAGUCCAGCAUUGGUCGAGCAACACUGGAGAUAUGCUGCUGAUCUCCUCCGAUUCUUUGUUGAGAGAGGCCGAGAACUUUAUGGUAACCAGUUUCUGGUCUACAACGUGCACUCAAUGUUGCACAUUGUGGAGGAUGCCGUGACCUUUGGAGGAUUGGACAAUUGUAGCGCUUUUAAAUUUGAAAAUUGUCUCAAGAAAAUAAAGAGGAUGGUAAGGAGUGGAAGAUGCCCCCUGUCACAAGUGGUGAAAAGGCUUGAGGAAUGCGCUGGACAGCCAAUGGAGCAUGGUAGGCAGAGGUCCAAUUCUUCUUUUAUUUUGAAUCGCCGCGAAUGCUGCGAGGUCAUAGAGGAGAGGGAUGGAAGCCAGCUUUGCCGUGUAUACCAGCACCCAGAACCACUUUUCAGUGUCCCUUGUGACUCCACAUUAAUCGGAGUACUGAAGUACAAGAACAAUGACACCGUUUUGAGAUGGAUCCAAAAAGACAACCUGAAAAGAAAGGCAAUCAAGAUUCCUGUUGGGGAAAAAAUCCUCUUCAUGGCCAUUCUUCAUGACAUUGCAAAUGUAUAGCAUCGUCAAAUUUUUGGGGGAAAGGACUGUUGGCAUAGUGGCCAGUAAUUGGAUUAUAAAAGAGGGAGAUAAGACAUGCAGCUACUGGCCACUCCACAAGCCCACACAGAGGGCAAAGGACAAAGAUUUGCCCGAUCCUAAAACCUGGCUAAAAAGGCCA
This is a long non-coding RNA of Gadus morhua (Atlantic cod), 781 nucleotides long. RefSeq lists it as uncharacterized. The transcript has 3 exons. NCBI's taxonomy places the organism in Eukaryota, Metazoa, Chordata, Actinopteri, Gadiformes, Gadidae. The record is from RefSeq and is a predicted model, not a curated record.